AGGGGCAGCAUGGUCUUAGCUUGCUAAGGCCGAUGGCGACCGGCGCACGGGUGAGUAACACGUAUCCAACCUGCCGUCUACUCUUGGACAGCCUUCUGAAAGGAAGAUUAAUACAAGAUGGCAUCAUGAGUCCGCAUGUUCACAUGAUUAAAGGUAUUCCGGUAGACGAUGGGGAUGCGUUCCAUUAGAUAGUAGGCGGGGUAACGGCCCACCUAGUCUUCGAUGGAUAGGGGUUCUGAGAGGAAGGUCCCCCACAUUGGAACUGAGACACGGUCCAAACUCCUACGGGAGGCAGCAGUGAGGAAUAUUGGUCAAUGGGCGAGAGCCUGAACCAGCCAAGUAGCGUGAAGGAUGACUGCCCUAUGGGUUGUAAACUUCUUUUAUAAAGGAAUAAAGUCGGGUAUGGAUACCCGUUUGCAUGUACUUUAUGAAUAAGGAUCGGCUAACUCCGUGCCAGCAGCCGCGGUAAUACGGAGGAUCCGAGCGUUAUCCGGAUUUAUUGGGUUUAAAGGGAGCGUAGAUGGAUGUUUAAGUCAGUUGUGAAAGUUUGCGGCUCAACCGUAAAAUUGCAGUUGAUACUGGAUAUCUUGAGUGCAGUUGAGGCAGGCGGAAUUCGUGGUGUAGCGGUGAAAUGCUUAGAUAUCACGAAGACUCCGAUUGCGAAGGCAGCCUGCUAAGCUGCAACUGACAUUGA
RNAcentral lists this ribosomal RNA (694 nucleotides) under uncultured Bacteroidales bacterium. RNAcentral's name for it is "bacterial SSU rRNA". It matches the Rfam family "Bacterial small subunit ribosomal RNA", at positions 65 to 749 of the family's 1533-position model. Lineage: Bacteria; Pseudomonadati; Bacteroidota; Bacteroidia; Bacteroidales. The record is from RNAcentral.